UAGGGAAUCUUCGGCAAUGGACGAAAGUCUGACCGAGCAACGCCGCGUGAGUGAAGAAGGUUUUCGGAUCGUAAAACUCUGUUGUUAGAGAAGAACAAGGACGUUAGUAACUGAACGUCCCCUGACGGUAUCUAACCAGAAAGCCACGGCUAACUACGUGCCAGCAGCCGCGGUAAUACGUAGGUGGCAAGCGUUGUCCGGAUUUAUUGGGCGUAAAGCGAGCGCAGGCGGUUUCUUAAGUCUGAUGUGAAAGCCCCCGGCUCAACCGGGGAGGGGCAUUGGAAACUGGGGGACUUGAGUGCAGAAGAGGAGAGUGGAAUUCCAUGUGUAGCGGUGAAAUGCGUAGAUAUAUGGAGGAACACCAGUGGCGAAGGCGGCUCUCUGGUCUGUAACUGACGCUGAGGCUCGAAAGCGUGGGGAGCAAACAGG
RNAcentral lists this ribosomal RNA (429 nucleotides) under Gemmatimonadota bacterium. Its description in RNAcentral is "Gemmatimonadetes bacterium partial 16S ribosomal RNA". It matches the Rfam family "Bacterial small subunit ribosomal RNA", at positions 355 to 776 of the family's 1533-position model. Lineage: Bacteria; Pseudomonadati; Gemmatimonadota. The record is from RNAcentral.